This is a long non-coding RNA of Nymphaea colorata (pocket water lily), 313 nucleotides long. RefSeq lists it as uncharacterized. The record is from RefSeq and is a predicted model, not a curated record. NCBI's taxonomy places the organism in Eukaryota, Viridiplantae, Streptophyta, Magnoliopsida, Nymphaeales, Nymphaeaceae. The transcript has 3 exons.
GCUGGUUUGAGCUUGCUUAGAUGAACAAGCGGUAGAAGAAGGAGCAGGGGAAGGUGAAGCAGCGGUGGAGGUGAAGGGUGGCAGUGCUGAGGUGCACCGAGCGCGUCGAGUAGACCAUGAGCGACAAGAUUCAGAGCUUGAGGUGAUUUUGAGUGUCUAUGGCAAUGUGCGAUAGUUUUGGCAGACCCAGGCAGCAGGUGGAUCAGAUGGCUCCACAUAGAUCCUACUGGGGAGAUUUUUGGGUCUAUAGUCAUGCCAGCGCAUCCUAUUUUGGUCUCAUUGAUGUAUUGCUUUUGUUAGACAUCGAUGUUGU